This 445-nucleotide long non-coding RNA is filed under the name Equus caballus (horse). RNAcentral's name for it is "lncRNA (ENSECAG00000050717.1)". The stretch from base 22 to 173 matches the Rfam family "Non-coding RNA BC040587". The record is from RNAcentral. Lineage: Eukaryota; Metazoa; Chordata; Mammalia; Perissodactyla; Equidae.
CGCCUCAUACAACAGACACCAGUUUGAUUUCUCCUUUUAACUGCAGUGAGGUCACACUCCUGUGUUUGUGACAUAGCAGCGGGUUGCCAUGGAGAUGAUAGCUUUAUCAGCAACUCCUCUUUGCAGUGACUUCACAGCAAGGUUACCAAGAAGCAGAUGGGCUGUGAAGGAGACAAACCCCCUUGUCUAAACACAAAUAGCAUUGGUAAUUAAUUAGCUGAAGCAGCAGGGGAAAUUAUGAAAAUGUGUGAAAGAUGAAAAAGACUUAAUAUUUGGUCUGAAGAGGUUAUGUGACUUUUGUAGAUGCCACGCUUUAUCAAAGUAUGGUUGAUAUACCAAAAUGAUUGGACAUAUUUAGUGUAUGCAAUUUGAUGAGUUUGGAGAUAUGCAUGCACCCAUAAAACCAUCACACAAUCAAGGUAAUAAAAUAUCCAUCAACUCCAAA